Molecule: unclassified non-coding RNA, 202 nt
Filed under: Hevea brasiliensis (rubber tree)
Lineage: Eukaryota; Viridiplantae; Streptophyta; Magnoliopsida; Malpighiales; Euphorbiaceae
Source: RNAcentral
GUCGAAACCUUUAUUCUUCAACAGUUCAACAUAGAACGAUGGAGGCCGUGAUAAAGCGACCAGCACAACACCUCGAGCUUGUGAUUUACCGGCGAGAAUGUUAGAAGUAAGUUGCGUAAGAAUAUGGUUGAAGACGAAGGAACCGAGAGGCGCGUCGAUAGUAUCCUUUAUAGUUAGAGCAGGAGCGUGUUCUCCUUCGAAU